Molecule: long non-coding RNA, 2418 nt
Organism: Mercenaria mercenaria
Lineage: Eukaryota; Metazoa; Mollusca; Bivalvia; Venerida; Veneridae
Exons: 2
Source: RefSeq, a predicted model, not a curated record
CCCACCUCCCACCCAAACAAACCAUUCAUUUUCUUUUAAUUUGAUUUUGACUAAUGAAAUUAUUUGCUUCUUGGUAACAUCCUUAACUUUUUGCUGGUUAUAUUUUUUUGCCGUUCCUCAACUCUGACCCUUUCCGCGGAGGAUUCCAAUUCAUCGAAUUUGCUUGUUUAAUGGAGAAAGAAACCAAUAUUUGCAGCUGGACAGGUUGUCACCACAGUUCAAUGAUUUAGGUCAGACAUCAGCUUUAGAAGUUGCUUUCUUGGCACAUCAUGCUGUCCAGUGGAGUUCAUACCAUAUGCCAGGCCUUUAUACAUAGUCAAAGAAGAUGAAUUUGUUAUUCAAUUUGUGAAAUUUGAUUUAGCGAGGACUUUCAUAUAUGAUGAUUAUAUUCAGCAGAUUAUCUUCAAGUGUGCACUUUCUAGAAUCACAGUUUCUAGGAGGUUUUCAGUUUAAAGUUAGAUUAAUUGAAAAAUAAGGGGAGCUAUCAUACUCACCAUGGUAUCGACAUUGGCAUUACACCAGGUUUAAGUUUUUCUUACCAGUCCAUAUUUUAAAAGGACCUUUUGACAGUAUUGAAACUUACAACAGUAAUGUAUCAUCAUUAUACCAAGUUUUAGGCAAGAGUACAUAACUCCAUCAAGGAUUUGACUGAACUAUGGCCCUUUUAAACUUUUGUCACUUGUUUAUAAUAAUAGUCUCUCUAUAUAGGCAAGAGUUCAUAACACUGUAGAGUAUUUUGGAUGAAUUAUGUCCCUUUUGGACUUUGAAAUUGGUUCAGUUUUUGUACAAGUCCACAUUUUGACAAAACAUUUUGGCAUAUAGCUUUGAAUCUUUCAACACUAAGUCUUACCAUUACAAUAAUAUAACUUAAAAUAGUUGUUCAACAUCAUCAAUCAUCACCCACAUCAUAUUACACAAGAUGCAUAACUCUUGCACUAAAAUUUAAUGAAUUGUGCCCGUUUUGCUUAAAAUGUACUUUGUAUAGUGUUUUGAUACACUUUAUCUUUAUCUCUCAUAUUACUUAAUAUUUUUAAAACAGACUUAGUUAUUAUGCAAUAUCUUCAUCCGCCGUUGGAGUCAUUAAACACAAUAGUGACAGCUCCAGUGUUCUCAGAUGUGCCCAGGCUCACUAUCCAGCACCGAAAUAGUCGAGCAUGCUAACUGAGACAAUCAGGUAGAUAACUAUGGACAGAUUUUAUGUCAAAUCACCUCCCUUUAUUUCAAAUUGAAAUGGGUACAUCAGUGUAACUAAUGAAGAUACUGUUAUGCCACCAGAUUGACUUGGACACUCAGUGAAGAUACAUAUUGACUGAAUUUAUGACAAAAGUACCUCCCUUUAUUUUUUAUGUAAAUGAAUAUAUUUAGCAGCUUCUAAUGAAAUUGGUUUGAAAGGUUUUUUAUGUCUACCAUGGUAAGAUAUAGUCAUGUUAGAUAACUCUUGCUUGAAUGUUUAUAGAUAUGAAUACUUCUCUUAUAUAUUAUUGUGAAACUUGUACUGUGUAUCUUCUACAUGCAUGUACCAAUACAUGAUUACCUUCCCUGAUUUUUAUAAAAAUGGAUUUAUCUCAGUAAGCAUAUAUAUAGGACUCAUUUGAAAUUUCAUUAUUGUCAUUUUGUUGGACAGAGACAAUUAUUGUAGAUUAUAUUGACUGAUUUUAUGCCAAGUUACAUUCCUUCGUUUCUUGUUAAAAUAGGUGUAUCUCAGUAACCAAUGAAGAUACUGAUUUGAAGUGUCAUUUAUGCAAUGAAAUGGACUCGGACAAUCAGGGUAGAUAACUUUUGACUGGAUUUAUGACAAAUAACCUCUCUUUAUUUUAUGUAAAUGAAUAUAUAUCUCAGCAGCAUCUAAUGAGAUUGCUUUAAAAUGUUAUGUAAGUCUUCCAGGGUAAGAAAUAGUCAUGCCAGUACAAAAAUGCAGCAUUUGAGCCUAGGACCCUCAAACAUGAUAUGAAGAUUGACCCUGACUAGUAUGUGACCCACAGGUCAAAAGGGACUGUUAAAUGAAUUUUUUAUCCUGAUGAUAUUUAAUGUGUAGCACUCUCGUCUAAAGUAUUUUUGAUUUAUAUGGAAAACAGCAGUGUUGGACAGAAUUGGAUGAAAAGUACAUUGUUAGAACUUCAAAUAUGCAACAUAAAGGUGAAUAUAGGUAAAUUUAUAAAUUCUCACCACAGGAUCUGUGGGUUAGUGGCUUUGAUUUGUAUAAAUUCUGUACAUAGGUCUAUAACCUUAAUCUGCUGAGAAUUUCUUCCCUUAAAUGAUGGAUAAGUCUUUAAUAUUGAAAUAAAUUUGCAUCUGUGCUCCUAUGGCAUUAUUAGGAAAGACACGUUAUUAUACAUUGUAACAGUUGGUGUUUAGAUCCUAUAAUUUGUUGAUUUAUUAAUAAUAAAACAUAAAAUAAAUGUUGAAAGUUUCAUAAAA